CUGAAUUAAGAUCUGAACUCCAGUCCAAUCUUGACUCUGAAGAUUUUCUUCAAUUUAUUUACUCAGCUGUGGGAAAACCUGCUCCUCAAAUAUCUCUUUUCCCAGCACAAGUCUUGAUUAAUCCACCAGAGGAAUACCUUGCUCAGAAUCCAAAUGGCACAGUGACUAUCUCUAAAACGUACAACGUCUCCUUAGAGACUGUUAGGUCCCUAAGACUCCAACACCUGAUUGUGUACAUGGAUCAUCCUCUAAGGAAUGAAGAGAAGAUUGUUCCUCUGUCAGUGAAACAAGAAUGUACUUCUGGUUCUUCUUCUAUUUGGCUGCCUAUAGUUGGUGCAUUCAUAAUUUUUCUACGUAUUUCACUUAUUAUUGUCUUUAUUGUUUGGAGAAAGAAAAGGUCACAGAAUGUGCUUGAAACACCCUAGCUGACACAGCCUGACAUGGAGACCUUCAAGAGCCACUUUCUUCCUGU
This is a long non-coding RNA of Diceros bicornis minor, 472 nucleotides long. RefSeq lists it as uncharacterized. The transcript has 3 exons. The record is from RefSeq and is a predicted model, not a curated record. NCBI's taxonomy places the organism in Eukaryota, Metazoa, Chordata, Mammalia, Perissodactyla, Rhinocerotidae.